CUGCUGCUGCUGCCGUUGCUGCUGGGAGCCGGUAGCUGAGCCAUCUGUCGCCUCCAGGCCGCGGAAAUUCUGUUGCACAAAAGAAGAGGGGAGAAGAAUAGAUGUGAGCUUUCUGCAUUCCUGGAGCACUGGAGCGAGACCAGCGGGGCCAAGUCAGGCUGAAAGGAGGUUUUAGAGCUGCAGCUGAACAGCCACAUCAGACUGGAGAGAUUUGCUCCAGCAUGCAUGAAGAAGUCGCUUUUUAUCUCCCAAGAAAAGUAGUAAAUUGCAACAUCAUCCAGUCAUUAACUCCUCAUCCAGUUCCAGGAAAGGUGUCAGAAAGUCGGAGGGCAUGAUUCGCUCCAACCGUCCUCGCAGAGCUGAAGGAGCCGGACGUCUGAUCCCACAGUGGAGGAAAGUUUCUGGGCUCCGGGGAGAGAAGUCGGAGAGAGAUUUCAGUUUGUCGUGGAGAAGCUUUUUUUAUUUUUUUUUGUUCCAGCCAGGGGAAGGGGGAGAUAAAGAUGAAGGCAGUGAAGGACACGGAGAGUUGGGAGGAAGAGCAGUGUGUCCCCGGGAGGAAAGUUUCCCGACCAUCUGCUGGAAUCUGCUUAAAUAGUUGGGGAAACCCACCCAUACGCCCCUAACCCCCCCUCCUUCCCCUGCCUGUUUGCUUCAGGGGGCAGGCCAGGGAGGGGAGUGUGUGUUAAUGUGCGUUAAUGUGUGUGUGCGAGUGUGUGUGUUGGGGGGUUGGGGUCUUGCAUUGUAAUGGUGUGCUGGGGGGCAGGGUGGGUGCAGAAAGAAGAGGAGGGAGCUGCUGAAUGAAGCUACUUUUCUACCCAUUCAUUACCAAAUCCUUAAAGGAGCAUUCUUCAUUCUUUUAACAGGCCGUCCUCUCACUUUGUUCAGGAGCGCUGCAGCUAAGGAGUUAAUGGCAUGUGGUGCAAACAGCAAAUGCAUUUAUUGUCGUUGAAGUAGUUAAAAUACUGGUUGAAAAUAUUUAAAAAUGUGUUUGCAUUCAAGCCAGGCUGCAGCAGCUGAGCUGAAAUGAGGAAAUGAUAGACUCAAAGAACCUUGUCUGCUUUUAUUUUUGUCUUUUAAUAGUUGGCGUUUUAUGACAUUACAGCAGACUUUAAACAUAACAUCUUCAUCGUGACGUUGAUGGGAAACUUGUCAUGUUUCUGCAGUAAAUUGAGCUUUUGAACAGAUUUGGAGAAGCUCUCCAGCUACAUCAGAAAAGACUUUACUGGCCGAGUGUGUGUGGGGACGUUAAGUCUUAGGUUUUUGGCAGCUUCUUCUGCUUCAUUUAGACCUGACAUCCUGAUAAUUAGAUACCAGUUGGUGUAAAAACACGAUAGCGACCGUUUCAGCAAAGUUGUGUUGCAGGCGACAAAACGUGAAAAACAUCGUCAGAUUUUACAGUUGAAACUUGUGUGUUUAUUAACUUCCCUAGUUUAAUAUGACACACAAAAUUCUAUAAAUAUUGUCUUUGCACAGUCAUGUUCAGUCAUGUUAUAAUUAGUUCCAUAUUUGUGACUUUAUUAUUAUAAUAUACAGUGAAAUAAUCCCAGUGUCCACAUAUGAGGAUAUUUUUUCCCCCAAAAAACUACUUCCUGUUCAAAGAUGAUGCUUAGUUUUUAUACUUCUUAGCUCCUACUAAUCCCAAAUACCUUGGAAUAAAUUAAAAGUGCAUAGCAAACUAAAGCUCGGCCCUCAAGAGGUUAAUAACAAACACUUGUAAACUUUGUAAGGAUGCGUUUCAGAUUCUUUACGUCUCCAGUUUUGAUGGUUUUAUAAACGCUUCAAACCUUCUUCUUCUUCUUCGUGUUCAUACUGAAAACAACACAACGCACCAUCAGUGACACAACGGUGUCUUGUUUAGCAGUUUGUGUCUGUGUCUCCUCCUAAAGUCUGAAGUGAAGUCGUCUGGAGUGUAAAGAUGUAUUAGACUGACAAUUGAGCCACACCCGGGUUUAGUUCUUCAAAGAGGUGUCAAAAGACGCCUUAGAGGCAGAAGGGACAUUAUUCACUGAACUGAAGCCAGGACAGGACGAACUAAAAGCCAAGAAAUGAAGAAGUGACCAGACCUGCUACUAUUACUCAACUUGUUGUUUUUAUGAAUCCGACCCGACGUUGUGUGUCAGUUAGACUUUAUAAUCGUGGCCUCACGUUUGUGAGAGAUAAGAAGCCAUCCUGACACGUGGGCCAGUGGAGAUCCAGCCACUCCUUCAUGCUCGUCAUCACGCUCCCUCAUUUCAAACUAGUUGAAAUGCAAAUUCGGGUGAUUACUGCGUCCUCAAAGCUCGGAAGAUGGAAAAGUACCAACCACUCACAGCAUCAGUGCAACACUUCCUGUUGGAGUGGGACGACGUGAAUAUAUCACACUUUUGCAUUUCAUUCAGUACGAGGCAGUUAUGAAAAGACUAUGCAAUGUUUUAUGUCUCUUGUGAAAAACAAAAACCCCAAAUCCUGUUUAGUUCUGAACCACAAAGCUGAACAUUAUCUCUAUUAAAUGGUCUCUACAUCCUAACAUGGUUCUGCCAUCAAUCUUCUUAUCAGUUAGAAGCUUUUGGGGUCCUGACCUGUGCUGCCACAGACUCAGCUUGUGAUUGUUGAUUUUCAUGCAUCAUAAAUUAGUCUUCGCUUUGUCCUGGAAGUUAAUUAAGGUGGCACAGUGCAGAAAUGGUACAGCUAACAGCAUCUAAACCAUAAAGAGUUUAAAUUGCAUCCUGAAGUUCAUUUUAUAAUCAUGUCUGAACACAUCGUUUCAGGAUUUUGAUCAUUGUUGCUGUGUGCAUGUAGUUUUUUGCUGUUUUAGGGACUGAAACAAUACAAUAAAUAAUCCGA
Long non-coding RNA from Mugil cephalus (flathead mullet), 2823 nucleotides. RefSeq lists it as uncharacterized. The transcript is spliced from 2 exons. Lineage: Eukaryota; Metazoa; Chordata; Actinopteri; Mugiliformes; Mugilidae. The record is from RefSeq and is a predicted model, not a curated record.